This 207-nucleotide ribosomal RNA is filed under the name uncultured Syntrophaceae bacterium. RNAcentral describes it as "partial 16S ribosomal RNA". It matches the Rfam family "Bacterial small subunit ribosomal RNA", at positions 568 to 774 of the family's 1533-position model. The record is from RNAcentral. Lineage: Bacteria; Pseudomonadati; Thermodesulfobacteriota; Syntrophia; Syntrophales; Syntrophaceae.
CGUGUAGGCGGCCGGACAAGUCAGAUGUGAAAUCCCUGGGCUCAACCCAGGAAGUGCAUUUGAAACUGUUCGGCUAGAGUAGGGGAGAGGGAAGUGGAAUUCCUGGUGUAGAGGUGAAAUUCGUAGAUAUCAGGAGGAACACCGGUGGCGAAGGCGACUUCCUGGCCCUAUACUGACGCUGAGACGCGAGAGCGUGGGGAGCAAACA